This 1345-nucleotide ribosomal RNA is filed under the name uncultured bacterium. RNAcentral describes it as "partial 16S ribosomal RNA". It matches the Rfam family "Bacterial small subunit ribosomal RNA", at positions 28 to 1381 of the family's 1533-position model. The record is from RNAcentral.
GACGAACGCUUUCGGCGUGCUUAACACAUGCAAGUCGAACGGAAAGGCCCUGCUUUUGUGGGGUGCUCGAGUGGCGAACGGGUGAGUAACACGUGAGUAACCUGCCCUUGACUUUGGGAUAACUUCAGGAAACUGGGGCUAAUACCGGAUAGGAGCUCCUGCUGCAUGGUGGGGGUUGGAAAGUUUCGGCGGUUGGGGAUGGACUCGCGGCUUAUCAGCUUGUUGGUGGGGUAGUGGCUUACCAAGGCUUUGACGGGUAGCCGGCCUGAGAGGGUGACCGGCCACAUUGGGACUGAGAUACGGCCCAUACUCCUACGGGAGGCAGCAGUGGGGAAUAUUGCACAAUGGGCGGAAGCCUGAUGCAGCAACGCCGCGUGCGGGAUGACGGCCUUCGGGUUGUAAACCGCUUUCGCCUGUGACGAAGCGUGAGUGACGGUAAUGGGUAAAGAAGCACCGGCUAACUACGUGCCAGCAGCCGCGGUGAUACGUAGGGUGCGAGCGUUGUCCGGAUUUAUUGGGCGUAAAGGGCUCGUAGGUGGUUGAUCGCGUCGGAAGUGUAAUCUUGGGGCUUAACCCUGAGCGUGCUUUCGAUACGGGUUGACUUGAGGAAGGUAGGGGAGAAUGGAAUUCCUGGUGGAGCGGUGGAAUGCCCAUAUAUCAGGAGGAACACCAGUGGCGAAGGCGGUUCUCUGGGCCUUUCCUGACGCUAGGAGCGAAAGCGUGGGGAGCGAACAGGUUAAGAUACCCUGGUGGUCCACGCUGUAAACGGUGGGUACUAGGUGUGGGGUCCAUUCCACGGGUUCCGUGCCGUAGCUAACGCUUUAAGUACCCCGCCUGGGGAGUACGGCCGCAAGGCUAAAACUCAAAGGAAUUGACGGGGCCCCGCACAAGCGGCGGAGCAUGCGGAUUAAUUCGAUGCAACGCGUAGAACCUUACCUGGGUUUGACAUGGAUCGGGAGUGCUCAGAGAUGGGUGUGCCUCUUUUGGGGUCGGUUCACAGGUGGUGCAUGCCUGUCGUCAGCUCGUGUCGUGAGAUGUUGGGUUAAGUCCCGCAACGAGCGCAACCCUUGUUCACUGUUGCCAGCACGUUAUGGUGGGGACUCAGUGGAGACCGCCGGGGUCAACUCGGAGGAAGGUGGGGAUGACGUCAAGUCAUCAUGCCCCUUAUGUCCAGGGCUUCACGCAUGCUACAAUGGCUGGUACAGAGAGUGGCGAGCCUGUGAGGGUGAGCGAAUCUCGGAAAGCCGGUCUCAGUUCGGAUUGGGGUCUGCAACUCGACCUCAUGAAGUCGGAGUCGCUAGUAAUCGCAGAUCAGCAACGCUGCGGUGAAUACGUUCCCGGGGCU